This 472-nucleotide ribosomal RNA is filed under the name uncultured bacterium. Its description in RNAcentral is "bacterial SSU rRNA". It matches the Rfam family "Bacterial small subunit ribosomal RNA", at positions 329 to 793 of the family's 1533-position model. The record is from RNAcentral.
GGCCAGACUCCUACGGGAGGCAGCAGUGGGGAAUAUUGCACAAUGGGCGCAAGCCUGAUGCAGCCAUGCCGCGUGUAUGAAGAAGGCCUUCGGGUUGUAAAGUACUUUCAGCGGGGAGGAAGGCGAUAAGGUUAAUAACCUUGUUGAUUGACGUUACCCGCAGAAGGGGCACCGGCUAACUCCGUGCCAGCAGCCGCGGUAAUACGGAGGGUGCAAGCGUUAAUCGGAAUUACUGGGCGCAAAGCGCACGCAGGCGGGCUGUCAAGUCGGAUGUGAAAUCCCCGGUCUCAACCUGGGAACUGCAUUCGAAACUGGCAGGCUGGAGUCUUGUAGAGGGGGGUAGAAUUCCAGGUGUAGCGGUGAAAUGCGUAGAGAUCUGGAGGAAUCCCGGUGGCGAAGGCGGCCCCCUGGACAAAGACUGACGCUCAGGUGCGAAAGCGUGGGGAGCACACAGGAUUAGAUACCCCCGUAA